Molecule: small nuclear RNA, 106 nt
Organism: Solanum stenotomum
Lineage: Eukaryota; Viridiplantae; Streptophyta; Magnoliopsida; Solanales; Solanaceae
Source: RefSeq, a predicted model, not a curated record
GUCCCUUCGGGGACAUCCGAUAAAAUUGGAAUGAUACAGAGAAGAUUAGCAUGACCCCUGCGCAAGGAUGACACGCAAGAAUUUUAAAAAAAAAUAAAAACUCCUU